This 252-nucleotide ribosomal RNA is filed under the name uncultured bacterium. Its description in RNAcentral is "partial 16S ribosomal RNA". It matches the Rfam family "Bacterial small subunit ribosomal RNA", at positions 524 to 776 of the family's 1533-position model. The record is from RNAcentral.
UACGGAGGAUCCAAGCGUUAUCCGGAUUCAUUGGGUUUAAAGGGUGCGUAGGCGGAAUGAUAAGUCAGUGGUGAAAUCCUGCAGCUUAACUGCAGAACUGCCAUUGAUACUGUCAAUCUUGAGUACAUUUGAUGUGGGCGGAAUGUGUCAUGUAGCGGUGAAAUGCUUAGAUAUGACACAGAACACCGAUUGCGAAGGCAGCUCACAAACUGUAACUGACGCUGAGGCACGAAAGCGUGGGUAUCAAACGGG